GGCGAAGCGACGGUAGAGUAAACGACACGGAGGAGUCGGAAUCUGGAAUGGAGCAGAUUUACUGGCUGCACCACCCGACGACGAAGAUUCAUCGCGAACGACGAAACUUGGGCCGCUUACCUUACAAC
Long non-coding RNA from Bombus terrestris (buff-tailed bumblebee), 128 nucleotides. RefSeq lists it as uncharacterized. The record is from RefSeq and is a predicted model, not a curated record. Lineage: Eukaryota; Metazoa; Arthropoda; Insecta; Hymenoptera; Apidae. The transcript is spliced from 2 exons.